Molecule: ribosomal RNA, 218 nt
Filed under: uncultured bacterium
Lineage: Bacteria
Description: partial 16S ribosomal RNA
Rfam family: Bacterial small subunit ribosomal RNA
Source: RNAcentral
GACUUAACCGGAUUAGGAAGGACGCCAGGGUCAGUGCCAGCAGCCACGGUAAUACAAAGACUGCAAGCGUUACUCGGAUUCACUGGACGUAAAGGGAGCGCAGGCAAGAUUGGUGUGUCAAGAUUGAAAUACCGGGGCUCAACCCCGGGGCUGCACCCAAAACUACCAAUCUAGACACUUGUUCGGGUAAGCGGAAUUCAUGGUGCAGCAAUGAAAUG